This 1094-nucleotide long non-coding RNA is filed under the name Cyanistes caeruleus (blue tit). RNAcentral's name for it is "lncRNA (ENSCCEG00000013244.1)". The record is from RNAcentral. Lineage: Eukaryota; Metazoa; Chordata; Aves; Passeriformes; Paridae.
ACAAAUUGCUGCAGGCAGUGGGGCCAGAAGCCCUUUGGGUUGUGAGCAGCCACAUCAGUGUACUCCCUUCCUUCCCCCCAUUUUCUCUCCACUUUUCCCCCCCUUUCUCAUGUUUUGAGCAUUGUGAGGAGCUGGAUUCAGAUGUGUGGCUUUGUUUUAUUUUAUAGCUUUUCUAUGCUGUUUCUUGAGGAACAUCAGGUAUUCUAGAAGCUGGAAAAAAAUUUUUCACACCAAUAAAUGAAUUGUUGGGAAGAGCUUCAGUUUCACUACAGACAGACCUUUUGCAGGCAGAGACUGAGGAAAGAUUUGCCCUGAAUGUUGGGGUAAUGACCCUUCUCAUACAGGGAUUCAAAACUACAUCCAAAAUGCACAUUCAAAGUAGCAGCUGUGUGGAGAGUGAAGAGAGACUGUGCCCUCAUGCAGCCUCCCUUCUUCCUUGGGAUGUUAAAUCAACAAGCACAUGCAGAGAAAAGGGCAAGAACACCAGCACCACUCCUGUUUCUCAAACUCAGGAAUGUGAUUCUCUUCUGCUUUGCCCAGCUCAUAGCUUUCUUGGGAAAUUCCAUUUCUGGUUUGACUCAUCUUGCUGCUUUAUGUAAGUGUGAUUAGUGGCACAGCUCUCCAUUUGUCCCUGAGAACAGCUGGACAUCACAGCUUUUGCUUGCAAGAAACUCUGGGUAGAUGCUUUGGAACCUCUUAAUGACAAUGAAACCUCUGCAACAACUUUGUGGUUGCUGCAUCUGGAGAAGACCAUUCCAUCUGGAGAAGACCCUCCUCCCAGGUUUUGAAGUGCUGGGCUCCUGCCCUGCAUGUUGUUUUUACAAGGGAAUUAUGAAGAGUGACUUUCAACAGCUGUUUUCUCUGGGAUCAUUCCAGCUCCCCAUGAAAUCAGUGACCACUCUUCUGGUUUUCCAUGGCCUGUAGAGACAGAUACUUCAGGCAUAAGUGUCAGGGUUUAUCUUUCAUUCAGUUUGGCUGAGCUUUUCAGUCUUUGGCUGAACUCAGGUUCAGUAAAACUGAGGAGUGCCUGGACUAGAAGAAGGUGUAAUGUAGGAAAGAAUAAACUGGGAAGGCACUCAUAGGGAAUGAGUUGC